CGCAAGCCUGACGGAGCAAUACCGCGUGGGGGAUGACGGUCUGUGGAUUGUAAACCCCUUUUCUCUAGGAAGAAGUUCUGACGGUACUAGAGGAAUCAGCAUCGGCUAACUCCGUGCCAGCAGCCGCGGUAAGACGGAGGAUGCAAGCGUUAUCCGGAUUUAUUGGGCGUAAAGCGUCCGCAGGCGGCUAAUCAAGUCUGCUGUUAAAGGCCGAGGCUUAACUUCGGUUGAGCAGUGGAAACUGAUUAGCUAGAGUGCGAUAGGGGUAGAGGGAAUUCCCAGUGUAGCGGUGAAAUGCGUAGAUAUUGGGAAGAACACCAGUGGCGAAGGCGCUCUACUGGGUCGCAACUGACGCUGAGGGACGAAAGCUAGGGGAGCG
Molecule: ribosomal RNA, 379 nt
Filed under: uncultured cyanobacterium
Lineage: Bacteria; Bacillati; Cyanobacteriota
Description: bacterial SSU rRNA
Rfam family: Bacterial small subunit ribosomal RNA
Source: RNAcentral